GCCAGUAGUCAUAUGCUUGUCUUAAAGAUUAAGCCAUGCAUGUCUAAGUAUAAGCAAUUAUACAGCGAAACUGCGAAUGGCUCAUUAAAUCAGUUAUCGUUUAUUUGAUAGUACCUUACUACAUGGAUAACCGUGGUAAUUCUAGAGCUAAUACAUGCUGAAAACCCCGACUUCGGAAGGGGUGUAUUUAUUAGAUUAAAAACCAAUGCCCUUCGGGGCUCACUGGUGAUUCAUGAUAACUUCUCGAAUCGCACGGCCUUGCGCCGGCGAUGGUUCAUUCAAAUUUCUGCCCUAUCAACUUUCGACGGCUGGGUCUUGGCCAGCCGUGGUGACAACGGGUAACGGAGGGUUAGGGCUCGACCCCGGAGAAAACGCCUGAGAAACGGCGUUUACAUCCAAGGAAGGCAGCAGGCGCGCAAAUUACCCAAUGCCGACACGGCGAGGUAGUGACGAGAAAUACUGAUACAGGGCUCUUUUGGGUCUUGUAAUUGGAAUGAGUACAAUUUAAAUCUCUUAACGAGGAACAAUUGGAGGGCAAGUCUGGUGCCAGCAGCCGCGGUAAUUCCAGCUCCAAUAGCGUAUAU
RNAcentral lists this ribosomal RNA (584 nucleotides) under Magnaporthiopsis poae. RNAcentral's name for it is "SSU rRNA". It matches the Rfam family "Eukaryotic small subunit ribosomal RNA", at positions 16 to 604 of the family's 1831-position model. The record is from RNAcentral. Lineage: Eukaryota; Fungi; Ascomycota; Sordariomycetes; Magnaporthales; Magnaporthaceae.